This is a long non-coding RNA of Empidonax traillii (willow flycatcher), 128 nucleotides long. RefSeq lists it as uncharacterized. The transcript has 3 exons. Lineage: Eukaryota; Metazoa; Chordata; Aves; Passeriformes; Tyrannidae. The record is from RefSeq and is a predicted model, not a curated record.
UCAUCCAUCAAUUCAUUGAGUAAAGGUGAACUUGAUCCCUUGUCCAGAUCAUUGACAAAGAUUUUAAACAGGACUGGCCCCAAUACUGAGUCCCUGGGAAUACCACUAGUGACUGUCCACCAGCUGGA